Molecule: ribosomal RNA, 501 nt
Filed under: uncultured bacterium
Lineage: Bacteria
Description: partial 16S ribosomal RNA
Rfam family: Bacterial small subunit ribosomal RNA
Source: RNAcentral
AUUGAACGCUGGCGGCAUGCCUUAUACAUGCAAGUCGAACGGCAGCACGGGUGCUUGCACCUGGUGGCGAGUGGCGAACGGGUGAGUAAUACAUCGGAACGUACCUUAUCGUGGGGGAUAACGCAGCGGAAGCUGUGCUAAUACCGCAUACGCCCUGAGGGGGAAAGCGGGGGAUCGCAAGACCUCGCGCGAUUAGAGCGGCCGAUGCCUGAUUAGCUUGUUGGUGGGGUAAAAGCCCACCAAGGCGACGAUCAGUAGCUGGUCUGAGAGGACGAUCAGCCACACUGGGACUGAGACACGGCCCAGACUCCUACGGGAGGCAGCAGUGGGGAAUUUUGGACGAUGGGGGCAACCCUGAUCCAGCAAUGCCGCGUGAGUGAAGAAGGCCUUCGGGUUGUAAAGCUCUUUUGUCAGGGAAGAAACACCGGCUCUAACACAGUCCGGGAAUGACGGUACCUGAAGAAUAAGCACCGGCUAACUACGUGCCAGCCGCCGCCGUAA